AACGCGAAGAACCUUACCUGGGCUCGAAGCGCAGUGGACCGGGGUAGAAAUAUCCCUUCCCCUUAAAAGGCUGCUGCGGAGGUGCUGCAUGGCUGUCGUCAGCUCGUGUCGUGAGAUGUUGGGUUAAGUCCCGCAACGAGCGCAACCCUUAUCCCUAGUUGCCAUCGGGUCAAGCCGGGCACUCUAGUGAAACUGCCUGGGAUAACCAGGAGGAAGGUGGGGAUGACGUCAAGUCCUCAUGGCCUUUAUGUCCAGGGCUACACACGUGCUACAAUGGCCGGUACAAACCGUCGCAAACCCGUGAGGGGGAGCUAAUCGGAAAAAGCCGGCCUCAGUUCGGAUUGGAGUCUGCAACUCGACUCCAUGAAGCUGGAAUCGCUAGUAAUCGCGGAUCAGAACGCCGCGGUGAAUACGUUCCCGGGCCUUGUA
This 429-nucleotide ribosomal RNA is filed under the name uncultured Acidobacterium sp. Its description in RNAcentral is "bacterial SSU rRNA". It matches the Rfam family "Bacterial small subunit ribosomal RNA", at positions 958 to 1385 of the family's 1533-position model. Lineage: Bacteria; Pseudomonadati; Acidobacteriota; Terriglobia; Terriglobales; Acidobacteriaceae. The record is from RNAcentral.